UACGUAGGGGGCGAGCGUUGUCCGGAUUUAUUGGGCGUAAAGAGCUCGUAGGCGGCCUGUCGCGUCGGAUGUGAAAGCCCGGGGCUUAACCCCGGGUCUGCAUUCGAUACGGGCAGGCUAGAGUGUGGUAGGGGAGAUCGGAAUUCCUGGUGUAGCGGUGAAAUGCGCAGAUAUCAGGAGGAACACCGGUGGCGAAGGCGGAUCUCUGGGCCAUUACUGACGCUGAGGAGCGAAAGCGUGGGGAGCGAACAGG
This 253-nucleotide ribosomal RNA is filed under the name uncultured bacterium. RNAcentral describes it as "partial 16S ribosomal RNA". It matches the Rfam family "Bacterial small subunit ribosomal RNA", at positions 524 to 776 of the family's 1533-position model. The record is from RNAcentral.